Molecule: long non-coding RNA, 240 nt
Filed under: Ursus americanus (American black bear)
Lineage: Eukaryota; Metazoa; Chordata; Mammalia; Carnivora; Ursidae
Description: lncRNA (ENSUAMG00000016261.1)
Source: RNAcentral
UGGUUAUGCCUACCUUUGAGCUAUUCACACAUUUUUAUUACAUGCAAGAAUCUUUAGGGUGAAGAGCAAUUGGCUGAGAUUGACUGGGUAAUCAAGAUUAUAAACGGUAUUGGAAUUGGAUGAAAUUUCUACCACUGUUCCAAUGAACUACUGAUUUUAUCAUUGCUUCCAGUUCUUUUCCAUGGGAAUAAUCAGAGCAGUGCACUCCAGAGAACUUGGUUUCAUAUAAAAGCUUUUAUU